GAUCCUGGCUCAGGAUGAACGCUGGCGGCGUGCCUAANACAUGCAAGUCGAACGAAGCACUGUCGAAUGAGGAUUCGUCUGAAUUUGGCUUUGAACUUAGUGGCGGACGGGUGAGUAACGCGUGAGCAACCUGCCCUUCAGUGGGGGACAACAGUUGGAAACGACUGCUAAUACCGCAUGAUGUAUUUCUCAGACAUCUUAGAAAUACCAAAGGAUUUAUUCGCUGAAGGAUGGGCUCGCGUCCGAUUAGAUAGUUGGUGGGGUAACGGCUCACCAAGUCGACGAUCGGUAGCCGGACUGAGAGGUUGAACGGCCACAUUGGGACUGAGACACGGCCCAGACUCCUACGGGAGGCAGCAGUGGGGGAUAUUGCACAAUGGAGGAAACUCUGAUGCAGCAACGCCGCGUGAGGGAAGAAGGUCUUCGGAUUGUAAACCUUUGUCUUUGGUGACGAAACAAAUGACGGUAGCCAAGGAGGAAGCUCCGGCUAACUACGUG
RNAcentral lists this ribosomal RNA (498 nucleotides) under uncultured bacterium. RNAcentral describes it as "bacterial SSU rRNA". It matches the Rfam family "Bacterial small subunit ribosomal RNA", at positions 15 to 507 of the family's 1533-position model. The record is from RNAcentral.